RNAcentral lists this ribosomal RNA (277 nucleotides) under uncultured prokaryote. Its description in RNAcentral is "partial 16S ribosomal RNA". It matches the Rfam family "Bacterial small subunit ribosomal RNA", at positions 524 to 801 of the family's 1533-position model. The record is from RNAcentral.
UACGUAGGGGCUAGCGUUAUCCGGAAUUACUGGGCGUAAAGGGUGCGUAGGUGGUUUCUUAAGUCUGAUGUGAAAGCCCACGGCUUAACCGUGGAGGGUCAUUGGAAACUGGUCGACUUGAGUGCAGAAGAGGGAAGUGGAAUUCCAUGUGUAGCGGUGAAAUGCGUAGAGAUAUGGAGGAACACCAGUGGCGAAGGCGGCUUCCUGGUCUGUAACUGACACUGAGGCGCGAAAGCGUGGGGAGCAAACAGGAUUAGAUACCCCGGUAGUCCCUGAG